This 253-nucleotide ribosomal RNA is filed under the name uncultured bacterium. Its description in RNAcentral is "partial 16S ribosomal RNA". It matches the Rfam family "Bacterial small subunit ribosomal RNA", at positions 524 to 776 of the family's 1533-position model. The record is from RNAcentral.
UACGUAGGGUGCAAGCGUUGUCCGGAAUUAUUGGGCGUAAAGAGCUCGUAGGCGGUCUGUCACGUCGGCUGUGAAAACCCGAGGCUCAACCUCGGGCCUGCAGUCGAUACGGGCAAACUAGAGUACUGCAGGGGAGACUGGAAUUCCUGGUGUAGCGGUGAAAUGCGCAGAUAUCAGGAGGAACACCGGUGGCGAAGGCGGUUCUCUGGGCCUGUACUGACGCUGAGGAGCGAAAGCGUGGGGAGCGAACAGG